GUGACUAAAUCGAGCGUGUCUUCAUUGACCGCUCACCCUUCUCACCAUCCACAUACACCUGUGCACUGUUUAGCCUGAGCCGGUUUUCCGGUCCAGGUUAUCAUUUCAUACAAACUCUAGUCUUAUGAAUGUAAACGUUUAAUAACAUAAUA
Molecule: unclassified non-coding RNA, 152 nt
Filed under: soil metagenome
Description: partial internal transcribed spacer 1
Source: RNAcentral